AUAAUACUCCAUAGAUUAGAGACACUGGAAUGUUCUUUAGUCGAAAGUUCUGGCGCCUUAGGAUGGAUCUGCGGUCGAUUAGGUUGUUGUUGGGGUAACGGCCCAACAAGCCUGUAAUCGAUACGGGUUGUGGGAGCAAGAGCCCGGAGAUGGAAUCUGAGACACGAUUCCAGGCCCUACGGGGCGCAGCAGGCGCGAAAACUUUACAAUGCAGGAAACUGUGAUAAGGGAACUCCGAGUGCCCGUAUACGCGGGCUGUCCAGGUGUUUAAAAAUCAUCUGAAGAAAGGGCCGGGCAAGACCGGUGCCAGCCGCCGCGGUUAUACCGGCGGCUCGAGUGGUGGCCACUAUUAUUGGGCUUAAAGCGUCCGUAGCUGGACCGAUAAGUCUCUUGGGAAAUCCGCCGGCUCAACCGGCGGGCGUCUAAGGGAUACUGUUAGUCUAGGGACCGGGAGAGGUGAGAGGUACUCCGGGGGUAGGAGUGAAAUCCUGUAAUCCCCGGGGGACCACCGAUGGCGAAGGCAUCUCACCAGAACGGCUCCGACAGUGAGGGACGAAAGCUGGGGGAGCGAACCGGAUUAGAUACCCGGGUAGUCCCAGCCGUAAACUAUGCGCGUUAGGUGU
Molecule: ribosomal RNA, 623 nt
Filed under: uncultured archaeon
Lineage: Archaea
Description: bacterial SSU rRNA
Rfam family: Archaeal small subunit ribosomal RNA
Source: RNAcentral